AUGUCCACCGGCAGGGCGUCCACGCCGUUCUCACGCGGGGCAGGCCACGUGGACCCCAACCGCGCCGCGGAUCUAGGCCUGGUGUACGACGCCGGCACGGAGGACUACAUCGCCUUCCUCCGCGCACUCGGCUACACCGCCGAGCAGAUGGCCGUAUUCAGCUCGGCGACCAACUGCUCGACGCGCGUGGGCGCCGGCGUGGGGGACCUCAAGUACCCGGCCUUCUCAGCGGUGUUUGGCCCGGAGAAACGCGCGGUCACGCAGCGCCGCGUCAUGCGGAACGUCGGGAGCAACGCCAGGCUGACGUACAGAGCCAAGAUCGCCAGCCCCGCCGGCGCGGUCGUGAUGGCGAGGCCGCAGAAGCUGCAGUUCAGCGCGACGCAGGGGACGCAGGAGUACGCGAUCACCUUCACACCAUGA
This 420-nucleotide ribosomal RNA is filed under the name Triticum aestivum (bread wheat). RNAcentral describes it as "partial small subunit ribosomal RNA". Lineage: Eukaryota; Viridiplantae; Streptophyta; Magnoliopsida; Poales; Poaceae. The record is from RNAcentral.